Molecule: small RNA, 970 nt
Filed under: Pongo abelii (Sumatran orangutan)
Lineage: Eukaryota; Metazoa; Chordata; Mammalia; Primates; Hominidae
Description: processed transcript
Source: RNAcentral
CUGCUCCUGGUCUUGUCAGGUGAGUGUUCACCCCUGUGCAGCCUCCCCGCCAUGGGCUGGAGGGCCUUUGCCAAGGCCACCACAUUGCAGGAGGAGGACAGGGAGCAUUUGUGAUGACAAACAUCAUGGACUAAUGCGGUCAUGAUUUGACAGCAGCUCGUCACCAAGCACUCACUGCAGGCCUGUCCAUGCUAGUGGCACUCCCACACCACGCCUUUAACCUCUGUGGUGAACCCACCAGAAGGCACCGUCACAGCCCCAGCUUAUGAUGGGAAAACUGAGGGCCAGGAAGGUGAAGUGACUCAGAAGUUUGUGGGUCCUUCUGGACAAGUGACUUUACCUCUCUGAGCCUCAGUCUCCCUCUCUGGGAAGUGGGGGUAAUGGCAGUGCCUCCCUCAGCGCCAUUUUGAGGAGUGGGAGUUGAUCCACGUGAGGCCUUCAGCAAGAGCUGCGGCCCGUGGACAUUGGUACCCAGCAGCUGCUGCAAAGAUGACUGUCGGGGCUGAGGGUUACCCGCUGCUGCUUCUGCGCCGUUACCUCCCAUUUCCUCGGCCCAGAGGGUCUGCUCCAGGAACUUUUUGCAGUUCGCUCAGGUCCAAGGCGGUGUGGCUGCCACCCAGUCAGGGCUCCUGUGGCCAAGAUGCCAGAACACCAAGCUGGCCGCUCUCUGGGAGCCGGGCCUGCCCCUCUCAGAGGCAUCCAGGCCAUGCUGCUGCGCCCUGGGCCGUUCCCCGGGUGCCCCGCCCACUGCUACCCUCCCACCUGCAGGUGCGGUCAUGGUGUUCAGCACGAGUGCCUUUGGCGCCUACUUCAAGCUGACCCAGGGUGGCCCUGGCAACUCCUCGCACGUGGCCGUCUCGGCGCCUGUCUCCGCACAGCCUGUUGAUGCCAGCGUGGGGCUGGCCUGGCUGGCCGUGGGCAGCAUGUGCCUCUUCAUCGCCGGCUUUGCGGUGGGCUGGGGGCCCAUCCC